Molecule: ribosomal RNA, 845 nt
Filed under: uncultured archaeon
Lineage: Archaea
Description: bacterial SSU rRNA
Rfam family: Archaeal small subunit ribosomal RNA
Source: RNAcentral
AUACGUGGCACACGGCUCAGUAACACUUAGUCAACAUAACCAAAGGACGUGGAUAAUCUCGGGAAACUGAGGCUAAACCGCGAUAGACCAAGAUACCUGGAAUGGUUUUUGAUCAAAAUCUAUAUGGCCUUUGGAUUGGACUGCGUCCGAUCAGGCUGUUGGUGAGGUAAUGGCCCACCAAACCUAUAACCGGUACGGGCUCUGAGAGGAGGAGCCCGGAGAUGGGUACUGAGACAAGGACCCAGGCCCUAUGGGGCGCAGCAGGCGCGAAACCUCUGCAAUAGGCGAAAGCCUGACAGGGUUACUCUGAGUGACUUUCGCUAAGAAAGUCUUUUGACAUCUGUAAAAAUGGUGUAGAAUAAGGGGUGGGCAAGUCUGGUGUCAGCCGCCGCGGUAAUACCAGCACCCCGAGUGGUCGGGACGAUUAUUGGGCCUAAAGCAUCCGUAGCCGGUUUUACAAGUCCUCCGUUAAAUCCAACUGCUUAACAGAUGGGCUGCGGAGGAUACUAUAAGACUAGGAGGCAGGAGAGGCAAGCGGUACUCAGUGGGUAGGGGUAAAAUCCGUUGAUCCAUUGAAGACCACCAGUGGCGAAGGCGGCUUGCCAGAAUGCGCUCGACGGUGAGGGAUGAAAGCUGGGGGAGCAAACCGGAUUAGAUACCCGGGUAGUCCCAGCCGUAAACGAUGCAGACUCGGUGAUGGACCAGCUUAAUGCUAGUCCAGUGCCGCAGGGAAGCCGUUAAGCCUGCCGCCUGGGUAGUACGGUCGCAAGACUGAAACUUAAAGGAAUUGGCGGGGGAGCACCACAAGGGGUGAAGCCUGCGGUUCAAUUGGAUUCAACGCCGGG